UGUCUCUUGGUGUAAUGGUAGCACUGAAGAUUUUGGUUCUUUAAGAAUGGGUUCGAAUCCUAUAGAGACAA
This 71-nucleotide transfer RNA is filed under the name Crassvirales sp. RNAcentral's name for it is "tRNA-Gln". It matches the Rfam family "tRNA". Rfam says of the family: Transfer RNA (tRNA) molecules are approximately 80 nucleotides in length. Their secondary structure includes four short double-helical elements and three loops (D, anti-codon, and T loops). The record is from RNAcentral. Lineage: Duplodnaviria; Heunggongvirae; Uroviricota; Caudoviricetes; Crassvirales.